GAAAGUGGGGGAUGUUGGGAUGGCUCAAUCAUAUCAAAUCUCCCAAACUAUGAUGUUGGGUCGUUUAAUCUGAUUGAGCCGUGCCAAUAUCACACUAACUAUA
Molecule: non-coding RNA, 103 nt
Organism: Populus trichocarpa (black cottonwood)
Lineage: Eukaryota; Viridiplantae; Streptophyta; Magnoliopsida; Malpighiales; Salicaceae
Source: Rfam